Molecule: ribosomal RNA, 251 nt
Filed under: uncultured bacterium
Lineage: Bacteria
Description: partial 16S ribosomal RNA
Rfam family: Bacterial small subunit ribosomal RNA
Source: RNAcentral
CGUAGGGUGCAAGCGUUGUCCGGAAUUAUUGGGCGUAAAGAGCUCGUAGGCGGUUUGUUGCGUCGGCUGUGAAAUCCCGAGGCUCAACCUCGGGUCUGCAGUCGAUACGAGCAAACUAGAGUGUUGCAGGGGAGACUGGAAUUCCUGGUGUAGCGGUGAAAUGCGCAGAUAUCAGGAGGAACACCGGUGGCGAAGGCGGGUCUCUGGGCAACAACUGACGCUGAGGAGCGAAAGCGUGGGGAGCGAACAGG